UUGGAGGGCAAGUCUGGUGCCAGCAGCCGCGGUAAUUCCAGCUCCAAUAGCGUAUAUUAAAGUUGUUGCAGUUAAAAAGCUCGUAGUUGAAUUUCGGGAUCAGUACGUUGGUCGUGCCUUAGGUACGUACUGGUGUUACUGGUUUCUACCUUCUGACGAACCAUCAUGUCAUUCAUUUGGUGUGGCGGGGAAUCAGGACUGUUACUUUGAAAAAAUUAGAGUGUUUAAAGCAGGCUCGCGCUUGAAUACAUUAGCAUGGAAUAAUGAAAUAGGACGUUGAUCCUAUUUUGUUGGCUUCUAGGAUUGACGUAAUGAUUAAUAGGGAUAGUUGGGGGCAUUAGUAUUCAAUUGUCAGAGGUGAAAUUCUUGGAUUUAUUGAAGACUAACUACUGCGAAAGCAUUUGCCAAGGAUGUUUUCAUUAAUCAAGAACGAAAGUUAGGGGAUCGAAGACGAUCAGAUACCGUCGUAGUCUUAACCAUAAACUAUGCCGACUAGGGAUCGGAUGAUGUUAUUUUUAAUGACUCAUUCGGCGCCUUACGGGAAAC
This 546-nucleotide ribosomal RNA is filed under the name uncultured Glomeromycotina. RNAcentral describes it as "SSU rRNA". It matches the Rfam family "Eukaryotic small subunit ribosomal RNA", at positions 548 to 1098 of the family's 1831-position model. Lineage: Eukaryota; Fungi; Glomeromycota. The record is from RNAcentral.